RNAcentral lists this non-coding RNA (235 nucleotides) under Bacillus sp. (in: firmicutes). Its description in RNAcentral is "Bacillus sp. T-box sequence". It matches the Rfam family "T-box leader". Rfam says of the family: Uncharged tRNA acts as the effector for transcription antitermination of genes in the T-box leader family. T-boxes are found upstream of many aminoacyl-tRNA synthetase genes and some amino acid biosynthetic genes usually in Gram-positive bacteria. The record is from RNAcentral. Lineage: Bacteria; Bacillati; Bacillota; Bacilli; Caryophanales; Bacillaceae.
GAUAAAACGAAGACGGGAACAGUACAUCAGAUUAUACUUUUUGUAGCGAGCCGGGGAAGGUGGGAGUCCGGUAAAAGAAUCUGGAUGGAAGAUCAUCCCUGAGUCUGCUUUUGAACCCAGCUUGGCUGGCAGUAAAUAGCGGCGAGUCAUUCACGUUACGAAUACCAAGAGGAAUAUUGUCAGGCAAUAUUCUAAAAGGGUGGUACCGCGGAAAUAUAGCCUUUUCGUCCCUUUA